RNAcentral lists this ribosomal RNA (385 nucleotides) under uncultured bacterium. RNAcentral's name for it is "bacterial SSU rRNA". It matches the Rfam family "Bacterial small subunit ribosomal RNA", at positions 93 to 514 of the family's 1533-position model. The record is from RNAcentral.
GAGUGGGACACGGGUGAGUAACGCGUGGGAAUCUACCUUAAAGACGGAAUAACUCAGGGAAACUGGAGCUAAUACCGUAUACGCCCUACGGGGGAAAGAUUUAUCGGGGCUGGAUGAGCCCGCGUUGGAUUAUCUAGUUGGUGGGGGAAAGGCCUACCAAGGCGACAAUCCAUAGCUGGUCUGAGAGAAUGAUCAACCACACUGGGACUGAGACACGGCCCACACUCCUACGGGAGGGAGCAGUGGGGAAUAUUGGACAAUGGGCGAAAGCCUGAUCCAGCCAUGCCGCGUGAGUGAUGAAGGCCCUAGGGUUGUAAAGCUCUUUCUUUGGGGAAGAUAAUGACGGUACCCGCAGAAAAAACCCCGGCUAACUUCGUGCCAGCAG